Non-coding RNA from Podarcis lilfordi (Lilford's wall lizard), 74 nucleotides. NCBI's taxonomy places the organism in Eukaryota, Metazoa, Chordata, Lepidosauria, Squamata, Lacertidae. The record is from the annotation of a GenBank genome assembly.
GGUUUGUGUGUGUGUGUGUACAUAUGUGUUUGUGUGUACACACACACACACACACACACACACACACACACACA